CGGCGUUGCUAGGAAACGGGAGUGGGGCCUGCGGGGACGCGGCUGGAGCCUGCGCAUUUCUUCCUUCCUGCUUUCAAAGUUGCAAUGAGCGCAGAGCGGUGCGCCCGAGGGGGUUGAAGCGUUGAAAGUGUGUUACCCAGAUUUUAUCUGAGUUAAACACGGGCCGGCCGCUGUGGCUCACGUCUGUACUCCCAGAGCCUUGGGAGGUCGAGGCGGGAAGAUCGCUUGAGCCCGGGAGCUCGAGACCAGACGCGGCAACAUGGCGAGACGCACAUCUCUGCCUUUAAAAAUGAGAGGCUGGCGGUUACCUUUCUUGGGGAGACGCGUCCGACUGCUUCAUUGUGGGGGCCUCAGGAGCGGAGGAUCGGGUCCCGCCCGAGGUGACGCGUAAACCCAGACUCUCAGCAACGCGGGUAGGAAGGACCCUUGAAGUUCCGCGGCGACCACGUCGGCUGAAACCAGCAGCCCAGGACAAGUGGACCAGCCAGCAAGACCCAGACCAUCCAAACCGGCUGAUCCUACGACAGGACCCAGAUGCCAGUGAAAGUGACCACAGCCCUGCUCUAGUCACCCCGGAAGCUGACCAGUCUACGCACGGCCGAAGCUUCGUCAAGGAAGUAAAUGUAGUUAGAAAUCUUAAGCCCAGUAAUUUUCCUUGUCAUCUUAAUUGUUUUACUAUUAACCUGUCGCUUUGCUCAACCCCCUCCUCUGGGCAAACAUCUCUUGUCCAUCCUAGGUACAAACAUGCUACUCUUCCCUUUGUUCUUGCUGCUCUCGCUAGAUCUAUGUCAGAAGGAGGGAUAUGCGGAGAGUUUAAUUUAACUAAUUGUUGCCUAAAAAUCGAUGACAAUGAGGAGGACGUCAUGAAUUAAUUGCGAGAAUGCGAGACUUAGCUCAUGUUCCAACACAAACCUGGAAACCGGAAUGGUCUCCAGGUUCCCCCCGCCCCCCCGUGGUUGGUUUUCAUCCCUCGGGGGAUUUAAAACCUUACUAGGAGUAGUUCUGGCCAUACUGGGAGUCCGCCUCGUACUCUUGUCUCUUCCCCUCCUUGUCAAGAAUAUCGACAAAGCCAGAGACGCUCGUGUGGACAGGCCGAGUACCACCGAGCUCAUCCCAUAACUACGUGUCCACCCCUGCCAGGAAAAGAGCUACUUCCCCCUGUAGAAGUAAAUAAAAAAUAGUGAUGCUUUCUAUUAAACCUUAUUUAUAAAAAGCAUCAAGGAGGGAAUAAAGCGGAAAUUGAAGAAACGGAAAAUACCUUUUUCGUAUAAAGCUGACUCGCCCCAAAGCCAGCAACAGGCAAAGCCCCCAGGCAAGGCCUUGAAAACACCAUUUAAAAAGCCAGAACCCCAAGGAAUGCCGCCCAGACGCCUCCCAGCACUGCACUCCCCCCGUGCAAAGAUAAGAACCAGACUCCUCCUUCCGUUUCCCGCUCCCCGUAAAAUACUCUGCCAGUUUUGUAAGCUCCUGUUCUUUCUCAAUGCGGCCGCAAGCUCACAAGCUCGGCUGAGGUUACGAAACCUGUCACUGUACGAUUAACUGCCUCUGUCCUGCGUCUGUAAAUUCACUUUCCCGCACUGCAAGUUUCACGCCGCUGCACGCUUCAAAGUCAAGCCCUUUGUUC
RNAcentral lists this long non-coding RNA (1624 nucleotides) under Homo sapiens (human). Its description in RNAcentral is "HSALNT0254052". The record is from RNAcentral. Lineage: Eukaryota; Metazoa; Chordata; Mammalia; Primates; Hominidae.